Molecule: ribosomal RNA, 251 nt
Filed under: Salmonella enterica
Lineage: Bacteria; Pseudomonadati; Pseudomonadota; Gammaproteobacteria; Enterobacterales; Enterobacteriaceae
Also listed under: 1 other name
Description: partial 16S ribosomal RNA
Rfam family: Bacterial small subunit ribosomal RNA
Source: RNAcentral
AAAUUGAAGAGUUUGAUCAUGGCUCAGAUUGAACGCUGGCGGCAGGCCUAACACAUGCAAGUCGAACGGUAGCACAGAGAGCUUGCUCUCGGGUGACGAGUGGCGGACGGGUGAGUAAUGUCUGGGAAACUGCCUGAUGGAGGGGGAUAACUACUGGAAACGGUGGCUAAUACCGCAUAACGUCGCAAGACCAAAGAGGGGGACCUUCGGGCCUCUUGCCAUCAGAUGUGCCCAGAUGGGAUUAGCUAGUU